CCCCUUCAGCAGUGUUAGAGUGACCGCGUCAGUGAGAGGAAGCCGGUGUGAUUCCGGCGCUGACCCGCAACCGUGACGGCAUCGCCGAAGCCGGGAACUCACCCUGACAGACCACAGGUA
Molecule: non-coding RNA, 120 nt
Filed under: Tessaracoccus aquimaris
Lineage: Bacteria; Bacillati; Actinomycetota; Actinomycetes; Propionibacteriales; Propionibacteriaceae
Also listed under: 1 other name
Source: RNAcentral